Molecule: ribosomal RNA, 1809 nt
Filed under: Pseudorobillarda siamensis
Lineage: Eukaryota; Fungi; Ascomycota; Dothideomycetes; Pleosporales
Description: eukaryotic LSU rRNA
Rfam family: Eukaryotic large subunit ribosomal RNA
Source: RNAcentral
ACCCGCUGAACUUAAGCAUAUCAAUAAGCGGAGGAAAAGAAACCAACAGGGAUUGCCCUAGUAACGGCGAGUGAAGCGGCAAUAGCUCAGAUUUGAAAUCUGGUCCUUUCAGGGCCCGAGUUGUAAUCUGCAGAGGAUGCUUCGGUGUCAGCCUCGGCCUAAGUUCCUUGGAACAGGACGUCACAGAGGGUGAGAAUCCCGUAUGUGGUCGGCUGCUUUCACCAUGUGAAGCUCCUUCGACGAGUCGAGUUGUUUGGGAAUGCAGCUCUAAAUGGGAGGUAAAUUUCUUCUAAAGCUAAAUAUUGGCCAGAGACCGAUAGCGCACAAGUAGAGUGAUCGAAAGAUGAAAAGCACUUUGGAAAGAGAGUUAAAAAGCACGUGAAAUUGUUGAAAGGGAAGCGCUUGCAAUCAGACUUGAUCGCGAUGGCUUAUCCAAGCUAUAACGGCUUGGUGCACUCCUUCGUAAUCAGGCCAGCAUCAGUUCGGGCGGCUGGAUAAAGAAUUUGGGAAUGUGGCUCUCUUCGGGGAGUGUUAUAGCCCAGAUUGUAAUGCAGUCAGCCUGGACUGAGGUCCGCGCUUCGGCUAGGAUGCUGGCGUAAUGAUUGUAAGCGGCCCGUCUUGAAACACGGACCAAGGAGUCUAACAUCUAUGCAAGUGUUUGGGUGUUAAACCCAUACGCGUAAUGAAAGUGAACGGAGGUGGGAACCCGCAAGGGCGCACCAUCGACCGAUCCUGAUGUCUUCGGAUGGAUUUGAGUAAGAGCAUAGCUGUUGGGACCCGAAAGAUGGUGAACUAUGCGUGGGUAGGGUGAAGCCAGAGGAAACUCUGGUGGAGGCUCGCAGCGGUUCUGACGUGCAAAUCGAUCGUCAAACCUGCGCAUAGGGGCGAAAGACUAAUCGAACCAUUGAUAUAGUAGAUUAUUAUUAUUUUGCUACUAGGUGGUUAAUAGGCAGCUAAAAGUGUCUGUCUAGUCCCUCUAUUCGGGGCGACACUGUCAAAUUGCGGGAACAUCCUGAGAGCUUAAGCUACCGCGGCCUACUGAAAGGUAAGGUGCAGCACCGGGGUAAUGACCCAGGGGAUGGUAAAAACGCUUAAGAUUGGACGAUCCGCAGCCAAGCUCUAAGUUAGUAACGUAGACCUACUACUAAUACGAGUGCAGUUCACAGACUAAAUGGCAGUGGGUAUUGAGUAAAAUCAGUGCUUAAGAUAUAGUCGAUCCCUUGUGGAAACGCAAGUAAUAGGACAAAGUUCACUAGAUGAAUAGAUAUUCUUUAGAAUAUUUCUAGUUUACCCGAACCCUAUUAAAAAGAUAUAUUCCAAUCUAUAUUUUUUGGAGCUACAUGCUAGUAGCUGGUUCCUGCCGAAGUUUCCCUCAGGAUAGCAGUAACGUUUUCAGUUUUAUGAGGUAAAGCGAAUGAUUAGAGGCCUGGGGGUUGAAACAACCUUCACCUAUUCUCAAACUUUAAAUAUGUAAGAAGUCCUUGUUACUUAGUUGAACGUGGACAUUUGAAUGUAUCGUUACUAGUGGGCCAUUUUUGGUAAGCAGAACUGGCGAUGCGGGAUGAACCGAACGCGAUGUUAAGGUGCCGGAAUGCACGCUCAUCAGACACCACAAAAGGUGUUAGUUCAUCUAGACAGCAGGACGGUGGCCAUGGAAGUCGGAAUCCGCUAAGGAGUGUGUAACAACUCACCUGCCGAAUGAACUAGCCCUGAAAAUGGAUGGCGCUCAAGCGUGCUACCAAUACAUCGCCGCCAGGGUAGAAACGAUGCCCUGGCGAGUAGGCAGGCGUGGAGGUCCAGUGACGAAGC